Rosa chinensis is the source of this 866-nucleotide long non-coding RNA. RefSeq lists it as uncharacterized. The transcript has 6 exons. The record is from RefSeq and is a predicted model, not a curated record. Lineage: Eukaryota; Viridiplantae; Streptophyta; Magnoliopsida; Rosales; Rosaceae.
GGCCUUGAAGAGUUUCAAAACGAGGUUACACUUACUGCAAUACAGCACCAUGUGAAUCUGGUUAGAGGGAAGAAAAGAUGCUGAUAUAUGAGUACACGCCAAACAAAAGCUUGGAUCACUACGUCUUUGGUGGAGGUCUGUCAAUAUCUUGCAUCGGCUUUUGUUCUGGCCUGUAUUAACUUGCAAAAAUCCGAGGAAGCACCCUGUAUCUUUCUUUUACAAUUUCAAUUCACCAAAGCAGAGUAGUUUAAUACUUGAAUGUGACUGCCUUGGCUCCUUCUCUCUUUGAUCCAGCAUGGUGAUGAUAACAAUUGCAGAAGUAGUGCUGCUUGCAUACUGUCAUGCAGAUUUAACUUUUCUCAAUCAUUUUCUUUUUAUAUAUCUGUGUAGGAUAGGAUGCGUAUGAAGACCAAUGUUGUGAUAAGGGUUCUCUCAUGCAAUGUAAUUCGGAAUCAAGAUUUCUAGUUGAAUACGGCUGCUGGUACCAUGUCUCCCUUUGAACAUGGCGAGUUUUUUGUUCUUGAUGAUGGUGGAGAGAGUCCUUCAGUCAUGGAGUACAAAGCUCUGGGUUAAAUGUAAUUGUUCCCUGUCAUGUUUCUUCAAACUGUAUCAAAGGUAGUGGAUGAAGAUAUUGGAGAUGAUGAAACCAAGUUUUGUGCCUCUAUAGUCAUCUAAGAUCACAUAGGAUAUCAACAUGUAAUAAGGAAUUAUUUAGUUGGUUUUAAUUGUAGCUUAGUUAACUAUUGUCAUCUAGGAUUAGAUAAGAUUAGAAGGUAUAGCUAGGAAUUAGUUACUAGAAUGUGCUUGUAGUCAAGUAUAUUGUAAUGAGUAAUAGAUACAAUGACAUUUGUUUUGGGAUUGUAAAG